This 528-nucleotide long non-coding RNA is filed under the name Homo sapiens (human). Its description in RNAcentral is "HSALNT0367997". Lineage: Eukaryota; Metazoa; Chordata; Mammalia; Primates; Hominidae. The record is from RNAcentral.
GCCAGGCCCAUCGAGGUCCCAGGAGUGAAUGCCUCAUUGUUGGCCAGGCCAGAGUCACAGAUAAUUACCUCAAUUAGUGACAAUGGGAGAGUAAUAAAUACAGGCUUAGUGUCUCCUACCCCACCAGGGCUCCGAAGAUUAAUCCAGGCUGACGGGCGGGCCCUGAAAGGCGUGAUGGACAAUUCAUUAAACUCCCCAAAUGCCGCACAACCUGGGCGUGAAGGCUGAGUUAGCCCCCUGGGGGCUGUGCCUUUGUCCCGAUUGUGUGUCUCCGCCACAGCAGAGCCGGGCAGCCCCCAGAGAGUGGGGAGGCCAACGUGUAUCCAGCGCCCUGGCACCUGAAGAUCAGAGGUGGUGAGAGGUGGCGCAUCAAGCACAGUCCUGAUGACACCAUCCUAUGGCCACCACCCUGAGCCUACUGUGGCUCCUGAGACCUUUAGGAAGAUGCUACACUGGUGGGGGCGAGGAGCCGCUAAUAGCUACAGUGGAAGGAAAUACUGAUUCCAGGAGGCAAACGCAUCUUUGAGA